UAAGGAAUAUUGGUCAAUGGAGGAAACUCUGAACCAGCCAUCCCGCGUGCAGGAUUAAGGUCCUAUGGAUUGUAAACUGCUUUUGGUAGGGAAGAAACGCCUUCAUUUAUGAGGGUCUGACGGUACCUACAGAAUAAGCACCGGCUAACUCCGUGCCAGCAGCCGCGGUAAUACGGAGGGUGCAAGCGUUAUCCGGAAUCACUGGGUUUAAAGGGUGCGUAGGCGGGUUAUUAAGUCAGUGGUGAAAGCCGGUCGCUCAACGAUCGAACUGCCAUUGAUACUGAUAGUCUUGAAUUGGGUUGAGGUUAGCGGAAUGUGACAUGUAGCGGUGAAAUGCGUAGAUAUGUCAUGGAACACCAAUUGCGAAGGCAGCUAGCUAGGCCUUGAUUGACGCUGAGGC
RNAcentral lists this ribosomal RNA (400 nucleotides) under uncultured bacterium. RNAcentral describes it as "bacterial SSU rRNA". It matches the Rfam family "Bacterial small subunit ribosomal RNA", at positions 355 to 752 of the family's 1533-position model. The record is from RNAcentral.